This 247-nucleotide ribosomal RNA is filed under the name uncultured bacterium. RNAcentral's name for it is "partial 16S ribosomal RNA". It matches the Rfam family "Bacterial small subunit ribosomal RNA", at positions 796 to 1041 of the family's 1533-position model. The record is from RNAcentral.
CACGCUGUAAACAAUGGAUACUUGUUGUUGGAGGUAUUGACCCCUUCAGUGACGUAGCUAACGCGUUAAGUAUCCCGCCUGGGGAGUACGGUCGCAAGAUUAAAACUCAAAGAAAUUGACGGGGGCCCGCACAAGCGGUGGAGCAUGUGGUUUAAUUCGAUGCAACGCGAAGAACCUUACCUAGGCUUGACAUGAAUUGGAAGAGUGGCAGAAAUGUCCUCGCCCGCAAGGGUCGGUUCACAGGUGC